GGAUCAAGUAGAUAUUGCGGUAC
RNAcentral lists this non-coding RNA (23 nucleotides) under Arabidopsis thaliana (thale cress). The record is from RNAcentral. Lineage: Eukaryota; Viridiplantae; Streptophyta; Magnoliopsida; Brassicales; Brassicaceae.